CCUACGGGGGGCAGCAGUCGAGAAUCAUUCACAAUGGGGGAAACCCUGAUGGUGCGACGCCGCGUGGGGGAAUGAAGGUCUUCGGAUUGUAAACCCCUGUCAUGUGGGAGCAAAUUAAAAAGAUAGUACCACAAGAGGAAGAGACGGCUAACUCUGUGCCAGCAGCCGCGGUAAUACAGAGGUCUCAAGCGUUGUUCGGAAUCACUGGGCGUAAGGCGUGCGUAGGCUGUUUCGUAAGUCGUGUGUGAAAGGCGCGGGCUCAACCCGCGGACGGCACAUGAUACUGCGGGACUAGAGUAAUGGAGGGGGAACCGGAAUUCUCGGUGUAGCAGUGAAAUGCGUAGAUAUCGAGAGGAACACUCGUGGCGAAGGCGGGUUCCUGGACAUUAACUGACGCUGAGGCACGAAGGCCAGGGGAGCGAAAGGGAUUAGAUACCCGGGUAGUC
RNAcentral lists this ribosomal RNA (446 nucleotides) under uncultured bacterium. RNAcentral's name for it is "partial 16S ribosomal RNA". It matches the Rfam family "Bacterial small subunit ribosomal RNA", at positions 338 to 795 of the family's 1533-position model. The record is from RNAcentral.